This 322-nucleotide long non-coding RNA is filed under the name Brassica napus (rape). Its description in RNAcentral is "long non-coding RNA (BNAP_LNC023593)". The record is from RNAcentral. Lineage: Eukaryota; Viridiplantae; Streptophyta; Magnoliopsida; Brassicales; Brassicaceae.
UAGAUUGCUUUUCUUAGUUUCCAAUAUUUUCAGCGCUUGGAUGGUUUUAUUAGGUUAUUAACGAGUGGUUCUCGUCUACAGUGCAUGCAGGUUUGUGAAGCCAGGAGAAACAAGUGAAAGCUGAUUUGUAAUAUAUCUAUCUCCAUCGGAUAAUAAUAUAUAAAAGCUUGAAAUGUAAAACAGCAUCUAAAACCACGACUUUAUUCUUGUUUUCUCUGCAAACUAAAGGGCUUCAUAAAGGCUUGUAAGUUGUGAACCAAAUAUUUGUUAAUAUGUGAUUUGGGACUUAAAACAUACCAAACACGAUCCAUUUUGUUGCUCC